CGGUAACGUUAGGCGGUGUGGUAAGUUAGGCAUGACAAGUCGAGCGACGAAAGUCCGCAAGGAUGAGUAAAGCGGCGAACGGGUGAGUAAUACGUAAUCAACCUACCCCCGAGAUCGGAAUAACCAUUGGAAACGAUGGCUAAUACCGGAUGGUCCACUGGGCAGCAUUGCCUGGCUGGUAAACGGCGGCCGCAAGGCGGUUGCUGAGGGAGCGGGUUGCGGCCUAUCAGCUUGUUGGUGAGGUAACGGCUCACCAAGGCUAUGACGGGUAACAGGUCUGAGAGGAUGAUCUGUCACACUGGGACUGAGACACUGCCCAGACUCCUACGGGAGGCUGCAGUCGAGAAUCUUCCACAAUGGGCGAAAGCCUGAUGGAGCGACACCGCGUGCAGGAUGAAGGCCUUCGGGUUGUAAACUGCUGUCACGCUAUAGGAACCGACUUGGGUGAAUAGUCCAAGUUCUGACUAAAGCGAAAGGAAGCGCCGGCUAACUCUGUG
Molecule: ribosomal RNA, 497 nt
Filed under: uncultured bacterium
Lineage: Bacteria
Description: bacterial SSU rRNA
Rfam family: Bacterial small subunit ribosomal RNA
Source: RNAcentral